This 1056-nucleotide small RNA is filed under the name Malus domestica (apple). Its description in RNAcentral is "sRNA MD11G0233500". Lineage: Eukaryota; Viridiplantae; Streptophyta; Magnoliopsida; Rosales; Rosaceae. The record is from RNAcentral.
AAGCUUCGCCUCCGCCUCUCUGGAAGCCAUUCAUUAUCCAGAACCUUUCUUCCUCGUCUGCAAAUCCAUUUCCUGUUUUGCUUAUUUAGCUAAGAAAUCCCAUCCCUCUCCCUUUUACCGAUCAGAAAAAAGAAAACAAACAAACUUUUCUCCAUCUUAUUCUCUAUGUCGAUUUCGUGCACCGACUCCUCGACUGAUUUAGACGAUGAAGACAGGGAGCGUAACGACUUUUGUCUCACAAAAUUUGGGAUUUGGUGGCAUCGGUAAUUAAAGGUUUUAAUCAGGAGAAGCCGAAUGGCUCUGAAGUGUCAUCAUUGGUAUAGCCACAGCCGUCCGCCUUCUAUGGUAGCUGCUCAACCACAAGUUUUCAACAAUACCUGAGGAGUCGCUCAGAGUGGAGUUAGCGGCUAAUCUAGCCUAUCAUUUGAUAGUUCCUAUGGCACAGUGGUGGCCUUGUUUUGGGAUGGGACAAUACAAGUCCACAUCCUCAAAUGUUUCGAGUGAUCGCAGGUGAAUCAUUUACGACGAGUGAUAAUGCUAUGGCUCUUGGUAUAGGAGGACAAUAUAUAAACCUACAGUAUCUGACAGAUUAUUAUCAUGGAGAAUUAGCACAAGUCUUCCAACAUACAAUGUUACUACUCAACCAAGCCUGCCUUUUAGAUCGUUUUUGUGGUGGAGUUGUUAGAGUGGUACUGCAGAGAGAUGAGCACUGCCACCAUCGUGCAUGGCUGAAGAAGCAGUCCUAAUGGUUAAUCGGUAGCUGGAUUGGCUUAGCAAGUAUUUUGGUAAACCAUGAAACUUGUGUUAGCUUGGAAACUAGUAGGUGGUAGCUUUAAACAUUGAAGCUAAACUUUGUUUGGUUGUUAAUAUUUACCACUUGAUUACCCGUAUCCGUGUGAUGUAUGAUUCCUUGCUUGGAUGUUGAAUUUUAACGUUCGUGAUCUGUAAUGAAGAAUUUGUUGAAAAUUAUGUAUUAUAAUAUUAAUUUACAAGAUUUUUAAUUUUAAUAUGUGAAUGAAAGUAUGUGUGAAUGGUUGCAUUGUUCCGGAUGCAAAC